UUCAAGUUUGCUUAGAGGUGUAUGUGUGU
RNAcentral lists this non-coding RNA (29 nucleotides) under Mus musculus (house mouse). Lineage: Eukaryota; Metazoa; Chordata; Mammalia; Rodentia; Muridae. The record is from RNAcentral.